AUAGAAAAGCUAUAAGUCCAGCUGGCUUCACCUCUCAUAAUGAGCAGUGAGGACGAUCAGAGGUCACUCUCAUUCUCGGUUUUGCUGGGUUUUGGCCAGCUUCUUUACUACAUGUUGUUUUAUCAGCAAGGUCUUUGUGACCUGUGUCUUGUACUGACCUCCUAUUUCAUCCUGUGGCUUAGAAUGCCUUAACCUCCUGGGAAUGGAGUCCAAUAGGUGUCAGGUUCAUUUUACCCAGGCUUUAUUCAAGAUGGGGUCACUCUGGUUUGAACGCCUCUGACGUUACCCAGGCUGGUUUCCAACUCCUGCGCCCAAGUGAUCUUCUCGCCUAGGCCUCCCAAAGAGCCGGCAAAGUCAUGUGCUUUUUGAAAGCUGUGACAGCCAACACAAAUGCAGCCAAGAGACCACCAUUGUACUAUGCAUGUAUGCCACAGUUUGCCUCCAAUCAUGUUGCUCACCAAAAGGGCAGCAUGAUAUCAAGUAACUUUAGAUCAUACAUACCCAGACCAAGUACAUCAUGGGUAUAAUAAGGCUCAUUGGUUUUUCCUAUGGAUAUUGAGUUGGCUUUUGCAGAAAGCAAGCUACAUAUUUAUUAUUCAGCUUGUAUUAUAAUUUAGGAAAACCUCUUACCUCAGCCUCUAUAUUGCUGGUGGACCUAUAUACAUUUGUACAAUCUUUUGCAAAAUUAAUUUGGUAACAGGCGUUAAGAGUCUGAAAAUUGUCAAUAUCCUUUGUCUAAGUUAUUCCACUUCUAAAAAAAUCUAUCUUAAAGAAAUCAGAAUCAGGAAACCCUUGUAUACAAGAUUUUCAGUAGCAUUUAUUUUUACCAGCAACA
Molecule: long non-coding RNA, 835 nt
Filed under: Homo sapiens (human)
Lineage: Eukaryota; Metazoa; Chordata; Mammalia; Primates; Hominidae
Description: non-protein coding lnc-RNF149-4:1
Source: RNAcentral